ACAUGCAAGUCGAGCGGAUGAGAGGAGCUUGCUCCUUGAUUCAGCGGCGGACGGGUGAGUAAUGCCUAGGAAUCUGCCUAUUAGUGGGGGACAACGUUUCGAAAGGAACGCUAAUACCGCAUACGUCCUACGGGAGAAAGCAGGGGACCUUCGGGCCUUGCGCUAAUAGAUGAGCCUAGGUCGGAUUAGCUAGUUGGUGAGGUAAUGGCUCACCAAGGCGACGAUCCGUAACUGUCUGAGAGGAUGAUCAGUCACACUGGAACUGAGACACGGUCCAGACUCNUACGGGAGGCAGCAGUGGGGAAUAUUGGACAAUGGGCGAAAGCCUGAUCCAGCCAUGCCGCGUGUGUGAAGAAGGUCUUCGGAUUGUAAAGCACUUUAAGUUGGGAGGAAGGGUUGUAGAUUAAUACUCUGCAAUUUUGACGUUACCGACAGAAUAAGCACCGGCUAACUCUGUGCCAGCAGCCGCGGUAAUACAGAGGGUGCAACGUUAAUCGGAAUUACUGGGCGUAAAGCGCGCGUAGGUGGUUCGUUAAGUUGGAUGUGAAAUCCCCGGGCUCAACCUGGGAACUGCAUUCAAAACUGUCGGGCUAGAGUAUGGUAGAGGGUGGUGGAAUUUCCUGUGUACGGUGAAAUGCGUAGAUAUAGGAAGGAAACCAGUGGCCGAAGGCGAACACCUGGACUGAUACUGACCUGAAGUGCGAAAG
Molecule: ribosomal RNA, 707 nt
Filed under: Pseudomonas putida
Lineage: Bacteria; Pseudomonadati; Pseudomonadota; Gammaproteobacteria; Pseudomonadales; Pseudomonadaceae
Description: bacterial SSU rRNA
Rfam family: Bacterial small subunit ribosomal RNA
Source: RNAcentral